GACCAGCCUCAGCUCUUCUAAAACUCCAGGUAGACAGUGUCCGACAUGAGCUGCUACCAGGAAAGGUUUUCCUCGGAGGAUGACUACUGCACCUACGCGUCGAAAAUGGAGAAGAAGACAGACAUGACUAAAGGGCCUCACUUCCCUCAGCUUCACACUGUGAUCAAGCACAAGGAGGUCCAUAUGGAAGAGGACGAGUCACGCCCUGGAAUCUUUGGCCGGCCGAGGCACGAGGAGUGGUCUGAAGAGGAGACCUAUGAAAUGUCUGAGACCACCUACGCAGGCGACAUGGGCAUGAAAGGGGGAGAGCGCAUCAGGCGCAAGGUGUAUAUAUGAGACUAUCAUCUAUAUAUAGUUCUGUGGUGAUGGAUGCCAUGGCUUGGCAUCUUUAUAUAUAGAAUAAAUCUCGGGCUUAUCUGCUGUAUAUCCAUAUGAAUAAUACUAUACUUCUCUAGUACUCAAGCUAUAGCUCUAUACUUUAGCCUACUACAUUCACUCUUGAUAUCUUUAGUACGCGCGUGUUUUCAGGUAAAUUUUUUGAGAAUACUACCCAACUCUUUCCCCCUUCAUUUUGAUAAUAUAAUCGGGAAAGAAGUAGGCUAGUCUCCGCUUUGAAUCCUAAAUAUAUUGGUGCAAGAUCGACCGAUGGCAUUCUAAAAUGUUGAUCCAAGCCACUGAUAAUGAUAUAUAUAACAUGUAAGACAUCCGCAAGAAUCAAGUAUUUUGUAAGUUAUCUAUCUAUUAUGCAUCAAGGGGAUGCAAAUGGACGGCAUGAGUAGUGCUAAUGUGUUAAAAUGCAUGAUAGGGUGUGAGAAAAAUUUUGAAUCCAGUCCAUCGAUUAUGAUCGCUCCAUAGAAAGCAUAUGUCAAAUAAAGUUCAAUAUGUUUGAGCACUUCUAAGUCAUAUGUAAACAUGAACUAGAUCGAACAACAUGUAUGAUGAAACCUUUUUGUUUUUGAAGAUUGUUUAUAAAAGGUUUUUGAGCUUUUGGAAGCAAAGUUUAUAGCUUUCAUAAAAAGAGUGAAAAUAAAAUCAAGGAAUAGUAAAAGUUUUGUGCAGAUGCUACCUCGGACAUCAAUCUGCAUGUAGGAAUAGCCAAAUAGGACCUGCAACUCUGUUUCCUAGGGGAAAAAAAAAAAAGCUGAGAUUUUAGGGACGGUUGCAAAAUGUUGCAGUUCCCGUUUUCUUCAGAUUUUCUAAAGCUGGAACUUUCUCGGUUUUGUUACUUCAAGUUCCUUUCUGAGAACUCAGAAAUUCUAACAUAUUUCUGUAGCAAUUUCCGAAGCUGUUUUAAUGAAGCUGUAACUACUACCUAUCAUUAUGGUUUUUAACUUACAGGCUUGAAGCAUAACGCGCUCCCAGUUGCACCCCUAUUUUAAGUGUCUUUGGAGCAUUUUUCAAGACAAAACGAGAACAUAGGAUAAUUUUUGGCCCAGAUCUUGCCACAUAUCGCCGCAAGUGUUGGCUGAUUCUCCUUCUUGAUUAAAGCAGACAAUGCCAGUGAUCAAACACAACAUAAGUUCACGUAUAUAAGCAAUUCACUAAGAUCUACACCAAAGAGGUGCAGUGGCAAAGAAGCAACCAACUCAGAGAACCUUUGGAAGAAGGCUUAGCCCAAAGAAGGCACAAACUUUGCCCUCCCCUGAGGCCAUCCUUUCAGAUCCCUCGGUUCCCACCACCUUCUCUCUCCCUCUCUCCUGCGGACGUGCCGGUGCUGCAGCGCAGAGAGAGACCCUGCAUCAAUGCCAUGCGGAUUCGUGCAAAGCAAACUAACGUUCCCCAUGCCAAAAGCGGAUUACUCUACUGCCUCUAUAUAUAGAUCUCUUGCUUUCUUCUCAGCUCGCCACUCUUUCUUCCACCGAUUCUUCCAGAAUUAAUAUUAGAGCCAUGGCUGUCUUCCGUCGAGCCUAUUUGUUUCGAGAUAUCUUCCGUUGAUGAGUGACUUGCUCGUCUUUCAUGGUCACUUGACGACGUUGGUGCCCUGAAGUCGCGCCAAUGGCAACCUCGCGUUGACGUGGGGGGAAUUAAGCUCGUUUCUAUGGGUGCUCUUCUUGCUUUAUUUUCCGCUUUCUGCUCUCUAACGUAUGGGAAUUGAUUUGUGUGAGGUUGGAAGGGGAUCCAAGUGUAUGGUGAUAUAAUAGCAGCCUUAAAUAUCAGCUUUUUGCUAUUCUAAUAUUGGGUUCGGGUUGUAUCUUCCGUGGGAAAGAAUGAUUCAUCUUUUUUUUCCACGAGGUCAACCAUUGGAUUGUGCAACGGCCACUUUAAGAUCUGUGCAGGUGGAUGAAAAAAAAAAGAGUUUGGUGUGCUUUGGAUCAUUCUUUCACGUGAAAGAUACAACCUAGAUCCUUUGAUAUAUGCACAUUUCCGAAGUGGUCAAAGUGUUUACCAUAAAGAAGAUUGGAGUCUUGAGUGCUCAAAAGAUGUUCGUAGCUAUAAGUGAGGUUGCAUAUUGCACCUAUAAGACUUAUUGAAUGUAUAGUGAUUGUAUGGAGUUCCUCCUCCACCAAGAUGGUCAUGACCUCGCAUUAAGAAUUGGCUGUGUUGUUAUAUUGAAUAAUCAAUAUUAACAAUCCACUUUAAAAAUCAUUGUCAAGGAUAGAGAUGCGAACUUGGUUGAAAUAGCUUAUAAGUGGUCCCUUAACUUGAAAUAAUAGAAUACCUUACUACAAUUUUGUGACAAAAUCCAUGUAUUAAUAAUGAUACCCUUGAUAAGAGGCAUAGUGGUUUAUUGGAUUCAGAUACAAAUAAGGGUCUAGUUGUCCAACAUGAAAUCAACCAUAUGUUACAAUGUUAAUAUUAAAACAUAGAGAUGGUCAGACAUAUGAGACCCACAACCCAGCUAAUUACUUAAAGUUUUAAAAAUAAUUAUUUUGGAAAAAAAUAUUAUUAAGAACAAUGGUAAAUUAUUUUCAAAAGGUUUCAUGUGCAUUGAAAUCCAAUCCAAUCCACCACCAUAAGCUCUCUCACGCGCGCAUAUAUAUAUAUAUAUAUAUAUAUAUAUUCGUUAUAUAUAUAUAUAUAUAUAUAUAUAUAUUCGAAUUUGCCCCUCUUGGUUUCAAGUUAGCAUGUUUUAUAGAAUGGCAAUUUUAGAUGAAGUUUGGUCUAGGACCUCUAGGUAUAGAUGUGUAGGAAUAGAUUUGCACAAUUUGAUGAGUCGGUGAAUAUUUUGGUGUAAUUUGACAUAUUCAAUAUUCUAUUUUGCAUGGUUGCAAUUUUCUGUUUUCAAUUUUCCUUAAAAACUAAAGAAAUUGCCACGGGAAUGGUGUUUGAUAAUCUAUUUUCUUUUUUAGUUUUUUUGAAAACUUUUUCUUAGUUUCUAAAAAUUUAUGCAAGUUUAAAAUUUUGUUUCCAAAAUUUCUAAAAAUCAAACCACUCAUGAUCCUCCACCAUCAUCUUUGUUGCUAUUGCCUCUGUCACCACCUAUCAACCACUAUCCUCUCGCCAACCACAAUCAUCUCCACUAUCACUGCAAUCAGCAUUGCUAACAUUGCUGCCAAAUGCAUUCCAUGCAACCAUUAGAUGUUAGGUUUUUGAUUGAAGGAGGCUUGUUUGAGGAAUCUCUUUUAGAGAUGUAACGUGAAAGAUAAAUGGAGAAUCGACCUUGCGACCUAGAGAGGGGAAUUUCAAAAAAUUCGAUGAAAAGAGAGAAAAAGAAGGGAAUAUAUAUUUGUGGUGUGGUUAACUAAGCUGAUUGAUAUUGAUGGUAUUCGAAUUUGAUAAGACAAGGAUUAGAAUUCUUUCAUAUGAAGUAUGCGAAUGAAGAACUGGUGGUCUAGAUCAUUGAGGAAUGAGAAUAAGAAAGCGAGCAAUGAAGAUAGGAGGUGGGUCCUAAAAUUUAAAGGGGCAAGGAGGCUGCACUGGAACUAUUUGGAAAUCCCAAGAACAUUUAAUUUCUCAGGAUGGCCAUGGCCCUUGCCCCCUCCCCUGCCGGUUCCAGCAUUCACAAACUGAUGCAUUCUUUUAGUCUUCUAAAUCUACUUCAUAUAGUUUCUAGGAGCUUGGGUUGUCUCUAUGGUUCAUAAACCUUACAAGAAUGUUUACCUUCUGAUGUCAGCAUAUGAUAUAUAACGAUGACAAGUGCCUCUACCUGUGGGUCGAUGAAGAAUGGUAUGAUCAAUUCAGGUUUCCAAGCACAGAAGAACGGUACAAAGAUAGCAGCAGCAAGACAUUCAAACAUUGUUGAUCUCAGAAAACCAUGUUGCCCAUGCUGUAACGCAGCACUGGUUUGUAAGCUAGGAAAUGAUCAAGGAAUAGGAUGGACUCCAAUGGACACAGGCCUAUGUGAACUUGGAGAGGAGCACUGUACUAGUAAAGUGAAUGCAACUCAGCUAUGGUGCUCAUAUUCUGCCCCUAUGUAAAUUUCAAACUUCUCUCUUUUUCUUCUUGGGAAAUAUCGAACCUAUUCAACCAUCUGAUGGUGAUUACAAACAUUUUAAACUAACUUUUUCCAGAGCAAUUCCAAACGGUGGAGAAAUUGUUUGCAUAUGAUGAGGUAUGGGAUCACAAAGUAAUAUAAUUAUUGUCGAGUAUAUCUUUGAGUUUACGGGCUCUAGAAAGGCAAAAAAAAUCUUUUCCCCCAUGAGAGAAGCAAGUGGUGCAGAGUGCAAAGAGCGAAGCAAGCAUUAGCAUCCUUGUUUUAUUUGGGCCGCACAGGAUGAGAUAAAUUUAUUUAUAUAUUGUUCUAGAAACCGACAUUAGCAUCAGUGGGUGCUUCCAAUACCACCCAAAGCUACUGCAUCAAGGUUCAAAUUCAUGCAAUAACACUAGCCGCCUGACGCAGACAGAAGUUAGAGGAUUAGAUGCGCUUCUUAUCUUUUUUCUUUUUUUUUGGUACAGAUGCACUUCUUAUCUUCAAGGAAUAAAUAUCAUAAGGCUUGGUCUAUAAAAAGGAGGAGCCAAGGAGCUCAGAAACCAGACCAGCCUCAGCUCUUCUAAAACUCCAGGUAGACAGUGUCCAACAUGAGCUGCACCUACGAGUCGAAAAUGGAGAAGACAAGCAUGACUGAAGGGCCUCACUCCCCUCAGCUUCACACUGUGAUCAAGCACAAGGAGGUCCAUGAGGAAGAGGAGAAGCCACGCCACGGAAUCUUCGGCCGGCCAAGGAACAAGGAGUGGUCUGAAGAGGAGACCUAUGAAAUCUCUGAGACAACCUACGCAGGCGACAUGGGCAUGCAAGGAGGAGAGUGCAUCAGGCGCAAGGAGUAUAUAUGAGACCAUACAUCAAGGCAGCUUGAGAGCAUCAUCUAUCUAUAGUUCUGUGAUGAUGGAUGCCAUGGCUUGGCAUCUUUAUAUAUAGAAUAAAUCUCUGGCUUAUCUACUGUAUAUCCAUAUGAAUAAUACUAUACUUCUCUAGUACUCAAGGUAUAGCUCUAUACUUUAGCCUACUACAUUCACUCUUGAUAUCUUUAGUACGCGCGUGUUUUCAGGUAGAUUUUUUGAGAAUACUACACCAACUCUUUCCCCCUUCAUUUUGAUAAUAUAAUCGGGAAAGAAGUAGGCUAGUCUCCGCUUUGAAUCCUAAAUAUAUUGGUGCAAGAUCGACCGAUGGCAUUCUAAAAUGUUGAUCCAAGCCACUGAUAAUGAUAUAUAUAACAUGCAAGACAUCCGCAAGAAUCAAGUAUUUUGUAAGUUUUCUAUCUAUUAUGCAUCAAGAGGAUGCAACUGGACGGCAUGAGUAGUGCUAAUGUGUUAAAAUGCAUGAUAGGGUGUGAGAAAAAUUUUGAAUCCAGUCCGUCGAUUAUGAUCGCUCCAUAGAAAGCAUAUGUGAAAUAAAGUUCAAUAUGUUUGCUUCUAAGUCACAUGAAAACAUGAACUCGAUCCAACAACAUGUGUGAUGAAACCUUUUUGUUUUUGAAGAUUGUUUGUAAAAGUUUUUGAGCUUUUGGAAGCAAAGUUUAUAGCUUUCAUAGAAGGAGUGAAAAUAAAGCAAGGAAUAGAAAAAGUUUUGUACAGAUGCCACCUUGGACAUCAAUCUGCAUGUGGUAUUUCAC
Molecule: long non-coding RNA, 5990 nt
Filed under: Phoenix dactylifera (date palm)
Lineage: Eukaryota; Viridiplantae; Streptophyta; Magnoliopsida; Arecales; Arecaceae
Description: long non-coding RNA (PDAC_LNC000241)
Source: RNAcentral